This 74-nucleotide transfer RNA is filed under the name Pteropus alecto (black flying fox). It matches the Rfam family "tRNA". Rfam says of the family: Transfer RNA (tRNA) molecules are approximately 80 nucleotides in length. Their secondary structure includes four short double-helical elements and three loops (D, anti-codon, and T loops). Lineage: Eukaryota; Metazoa; Chordata; Mammalia; Chiroptera; Pteropodidae. The record is from Rfam by way of RNAcentral.
GGCUGCGUAGUGUAGUGGUUAGCAUGUCUGCUUUAUAUGCAGAAGGUCCUUGGUUCGUGCCCCAGGUGGAGCCA